UUUGGAAAAGGAAGAGACCUGCAGAUAAAUAACACAAUUAAACAAACAAGUAUUGAAAUAUAAGUGUUCCGCAUUAAGCUUGCUAGUAAGGAAAAUAUCAAGAGAUGGCUUGCUAGCUUUCACCCCUAGAUCACCCCCAUGGAAACUUGAUACAUCAGAGCAAGAAAACAUUCCCCAAUGGUUACAAACCUUCGGUGCAAAAUGACAUUCAUGGGAUCUGAAGACAUCACUAAGAAAUAUCAGGUUCUAUAUGAGUCUGACUUAUUAAAGAACAGAGAGCAAUGAAGAAAAGUGCAGUACAUUAAAUCAAGGCCAAAUGAUACAUUGCAUGCAUCAGCGAG
RNAcentral lists this long non-coding RNA (341 nucleotides) under Triticum aestivum (bread wheat). RNAcentral's name for it is "long non-coding RNA (TAES_LNC003270)". Lineage: Eukaryota; Viridiplantae; Streptophyta; Magnoliopsida; Poales; Poaceae. The record is from RNAcentral.